AUGGAGGUAUUAUCCAGCAUUGUACUUAUUUUGGACAACAUCUGCCUCUCUGACACUACCUUAAGAGAGUCCACCUCCAUCCCCAUAAUGUUACCUGCCUUGAGGAUCAAUUUAUUGAGUCUGUUGACAUCCGUGGGUUUGACGUGUUGGACCUUGAGGAUACAGCGCUCACAGUUCAACCGGAGAAGGACGUUGGACAGGAACUGUGACAGAGGAGAUGGUCAGUGAUUAUAAAGGCACGCCGCAUCUGAUGCUGUAUGAUUUGUAUUCAGAAAUUGUUUUUCCUUACACUGGAUAAAGCCUCUAAGAUCACAUCUUUGCUAUCCCGAUUAGAGGAUGAAAGUGAAGCUUUUAGGUGAAAAGUCACUGUUUGGAAAUCUUAAAGCAAGGUACAAAUAAAAAUACACUUAUUUAAGUACUGCAGAUCUUUGAUGUAUAAAAAUGCUAAAAUAGAUAUUUGGACAUUUCAUUGACUGUACCUUUGUCUGAGCUUGUGUCAGUUGUGGAAUCCUUGUUUUUGUUGGAAAUGCCAGCAGUGUUUCCACUUCCUGGGAAAGAUACAACACCCCUGUUAUCCAGAAUUUGCACAGCCGUCUAACAGUCUGAUAGUUGCUGAUAGACUCUAUGUAAUGAUAUAUAGCAGGUGUGUCAAACAUAAAGCCUGGGGACCAGAAUUGGCCUGGCAAGGAUUCCAAUCCAACCCACUGGAUACCUUUGGAAAACGUGACGGAGAACUUAAAAUGUGGACUUUUAACUAUAUUUUCAUAUGUUUUACAACAUUUCCUACUAAUAGAAUAGAAUAGCUUUUUAUUGUCAUUGUAAAUGUACAACAAAAUUGUGGAAUUGUCAUAAAGACUUCCUCCAUGGCUUUUCAUAUUAAAUCUAAAUUAUGUAAAAGAUAAAGAAUUAAAUGACAGAAAAGUUCCUGUUUUUUCCACUAUCUACAGUAGAAAUUCCUUUUUUUUUCUUUUUAAUGGAUAUGCAGUAACAAAAAAAAAAAAAAAAGACUGAAAAUGUUCUAGGCAUUGAGCUACCACAACUACCCAACUUUUAAAAUAUCUUUAAUUGGAGACAAUUUGGCAUUCCAUUGUAGGAGAGUACAUUUCUUGUUGUUUUCUGAAUGAUGAGCUAUUACACAGGCUGGUAUACUGCUGUUAAUAAUGCCACCUUUGCUGUCUUACCAAUGAUUAUGAACAUUUCUGUCAUGAUAUACCGUAGGCCCAUUUAAACCAUG
Molecule: long non-coding RNA, 1234 nt
Filed under: Oreochromis niloticus (Nile tilapia)
Lineage: Eukaryota; Metazoa; Chordata; Actinopteri; Cichliformes; Cichlidae
Description: lncRNA (ENSONIG00000038687.1)
Source: RNAcentral